GAUGAACGCUAGCGGCAGGCUUAACACAUGCAAGUCGAGGGGUAACAGGGAUUGCUUGCAAUCCGCUGACGACCGGCGCACGGGUGAGUAACGCGUAUACAAUUUGCCUUAUACAGGGGGAUAGCCUUUAGAAAUGAAGAUUAAUACCCCAUGGUAUUAUGAUAUGGCCUCAUAUUAUAAUUAAAGAUUUAUCGGUAUAAGAUGAGUAUGCGUUCUAUUAGCUAGAUGGUAAGGUAAUGGCUUACCAUGGCAACGAUAGAUAGGGGCCCUGAGAGGGGGAUCCCCCACACUGGUACUGAGACACGGACCAGACUCCUACGGGAGGCAGCAGUGAGGAAUAUUGGACAAUGGGCGAGAGCCUGAUCCAGCCAUGCCGCGUGCAGGAAGACGGCCCUAUGGGUUGUAAACUGCUUUUAUAUAGGAAGAAACCCGACCACGUGUGGUCGGCUGACGGUACUAUAAGAAUAAGCACCGGCUAACUCCG
Molecule: ribosomal RNA, 484 nt
Filed under: uncultured Flavobacteriaceae bacterium
Lineage: Bacteria; Pseudomonadati; Bacteroidota; Flavobacteriia; Flavobacteriales; Flavobacteriaceae
Description: bacterial SSU rRNA
Rfam family: Bacterial small subunit ribosomal RNA
Source: RNAcentral